Long non-coding RNA from Xenia sp. Carnegie-2017, 442 nucleotides. RefSeq lists it as uncharacterized. Lineage: Eukaryota; Metazoa; Cnidaria; Anthozoa; Malacalcyonacea; Xeniidae. The record is from RefSeq and is a predicted model, not a curated record. The transcript has 2 exons.
AUUUUACAUUUCCAAAAUUUCCUGUGCUGUACAAGGUAUAGUGAGAUCUCCAUGCCAUAUGGUUUGUCCUCAGAUGAAUUGUCUAAGCUGUUCGCAGAUAGUUGGGUCUCAUCUGAUCAUAUAUGCUGGCAGACAAUCAACCUUAAUCAAAUCCAUACUAUAACUUACUUUGUUUACCUAAAUGGACGAAAGCAACUCGCAACAUCUUAGCACUGAUUUACCCAUUGUAAAGUGAAGCCUUCCAAAUUCAGCACCUAGAGAGGGAACAUGGUGUGGACAUUAAAAACUGAAACAUUAUUUUGCUGGACAAAAUGACAGCAUUUGAGCAAUGGAAAGACAAAUUGGAAGAACACGUAUGCUCUUUUACUAAAUAAAAUGGCGUGAAAAACACAACACAAAAUUACCAGUGUAACCGAAGUGGUUUGUAUGUCCCACGAGGAAA